This is a long non-coding RNA of Spinacia oleracea (spinach), 1629 nucleotides long. RefSeq lists it as uncharacterized. The record is from RefSeq and is a predicted model, not a curated record. Lineage: Eukaryota; Viridiplantae; Streptophyta; Magnoliopsida; Caryophyllales; Amaranthaceae. The transcript has 2 exons.
UUUAAUUAAACAUUUCUAUUCCAAUUAAUUUCCUAAAAAAAGAAAUCAAUUUUCUGAAUUUUGGCCUAAUAUUGUGGAAUUACAAAAAUGCCCUUUUGACCCAUUGAAAGCAAGUCAACCCUUCUUUUCUUCUCUUCUUCUCUGCCGUGCAAACUUGAGCACCUGACAUCGUUGGUUUUUGCCAUAUAUUGCAUCUAUGGAUCUUAGCUUUGCUGAAUCACCCCCUAGAAACCAGUAUAUUACAAUAGUCAUUGCCUACUUUUCCUACUCCCUUACAUCUGUCAUUUGUAUCCUUGCAACUUAGCACUUUCUUCACGUCAAUUUCCACCAUUCACCUCUAGAAAUAGAUGUUGAAUAUUAUCAUUGAAUUUUAGAAUUUAACAGCUAUCGACUUCUUAUUUACCAUUGAAUUUCCAGAUUAAACAUGUAGAGUUUCUUACCAUUUCAAUUCUCUUUAAAUAACCCACAAAUCGCAGCCAUUUGAACCAAUCUCUUCGUCUCUUUUCCGGCAUAAUGCCGCCUGCAAACCACCGUCUGCCACCACCAUUAUCACCACCACUGCCGCCACCUCAACCAUCCCAACACCACUCGGCACCACUCUCAAACUCCCCUCUUUUCUCUUUUUGUUCGCACACUCAUCCCCUCCCCUGCCUUUACUCACCUCCGCGCCCAGCCAUCAGCACCACCAUGUAGCCGUAGCGUUCCACCCAUCCCACGCUCCUUCUACCUCUUUGACGACCGCCAUGAACGCCGCCCAACACCCCUGCAUUCUUCCCCCUUCUCCUCGGCUUUCUCCCUCCCUGUCGUCGCUCUCCACCGCGCCCAACCACCAGCACCGCCGGGGUUGGUGCGCUGCCUCUGCCGCACCGCUUGGCCGCACUCCAUCCUCCGGUGGCGAACCACCGCCCAGCUGCCGCUUGCUUUCCUUCUUCCUAUCUCCUCCUCCGUACCAUGCUCUCCUUUUCUCUGUUUCUCGUUCAUAAUUCCCAGGAACAAAAUCCCCACUUGUUACUUUGCUUCUUUUAAUUCCUUAGCCCACUAAAAGCAAGCCCAAUUCUAUUUGUAAGUAAGCCCAAUUCUAUUUGUGAGUUGCACCUUUCAUUCAAAUUCAGAUUUUUGCAAUUGUUAUUUUAUGAUAAUAAUCGUGUUUUAUAAAAGUAAAUAAAUAAAUAAUUUUUAAGUAUAUUAAUAUUUGCUCCUAUCAUAUUACGAAUAUUAAAAACUAUUUAUCAAUUUUGGAAAAAAAUGUAUUAUUGAGUUUGUUUUUAAAUAAGUUACUAGCUUGAUUUAAAAUAGAAUUUAAUAAUAUUUCAAGCAAAUCGAUUUGAGAAUAAAAGAUUAUUUAGAAAAUAUUGAUUUUUAAAGUAUUUAUCAUUUUAAUUUUAAUUCAACAAUUUAAUCUUUUGAAAGAAAUCGGACUCGGAGUUCAGGAAGAACGAACCAACGAAAAGGCUUAGCAAAUCGCGGAAUUGAGGUACUACUGGGGAACACGAAAACGAGUAGUGACAAGGAUUUCACUAUAGAAAUGUUCACCUCAGUUAAUGUUAAGUUGUAACAAGUUUAAGUAUGACUCUUGAUUAAGCUAUGUACUCGGAUUAAGGAAUUAAUAAGAUUAUUAUAUUAUUUGGA